GUCCAACGUCAUCCUGGAUAGCUCAGUUGGUUAGAGCACGGUGCUGAUAACGGCAAGGUUGCAGGUUCGAUCCCCAUAUGGGACA
Molecule: transfer RNA, 85 nt
Filed under: Podarcis lilfordi (Lilford's wall lizard)
Lineage: Eukaryota; Metazoa; Chordata; Lepidosauria; Squamata; Lacertidae
Description: tRNA.Ile
Source: RNAcentral